UAGAUACCCUAUUAUUUAUAACUUAAAUAUAAAUGCCGGAUAAUACGAACAAUGUUUAAAAUUCAAAGAGCUUGGCGGUGUCUUAUAUAUACAGGGGAACCUGUCGCUUAAUUCGAUAAUCCACGCUUACUUCACCUAAAAUUGAAAUAUCAGCCUGUGUACUGCCGUCGCAAGUGCACCUCUAAGAGAAUAAAGUGCGCAACACCGUAUAUCACAAAUAUACAACUACGUCAGGUCAAAGUGCAGCUAAUAUUUAGGGGCAGAUGGGUUACAAUCUAAAUUCAGAUACGUAAUUUAAAUCAAUAGAUUAAAUAUAAGGUGGACUUGUAAGUAAUUUCUGUAUAAAAUACAAAAAUGAAAUAGAAUCUAAGACAUGCACACAUCGCCCGUCACUCUCGCCUAACGGUGAGAUAAGUC
RNAcentral lists this ribosomal RNA (417 nucleotides) under Phreodrilidae sp. P15. Its description in RNAcentral is "partial small subunit ribosomal RNA". It matches the Rfam family "Bacterial small subunit ribosomal RNA", at positions 875 to 1487 of the family's 1533-position model. Lineage: Eukaryota; Metazoa; Annelida; Clitellata; Tubificida; Phreodrilidae. The record is from RNAcentral.